AUCACUUCUCAGCCUUUUGGCUAAGAUCAAGUGAAGUAUCUGUUCUUAGCAGUUUAAAACAAAGACAAUAAUAAGAGACAAAUAAGGCCACUAAAUAAUAAUAAAAGGUACAAUCCAA
RNAcentral lists this small nuclear RNA (118 nucleotides) under Suricata suricatta (meerkat). Its description in RNAcentral is "U2 spliceosomal RNA (ENSSSUG00005001010.1)". It matches the Rfam family "U2 spliceosomal RNA". From Rfam's summary of the family: U2 is a small nuclear RNA (snRNA) component of the spliceosome (involved in pre-mRNA splicing). Complementary binding between U2 snRNA (in an area lying towards the 5' end but 3' to hairpin I) and the branchpoint sequence (BPS) of the intron results the bulging out of an unpaired adenosine, on the BPS, which initiates a nucleophilic attack at the intronic 5' splice site, thus starting the first of two transesterification reactions that mediate splicing. The record is from Rfam by way of RNAcentral. Lineage: Eukaryota; Metazoa; Chordata; Mammalia; Carnivora; Herpestidae.